UUGCGAAAAAACCCAAAAACCUAUAUCAAAAACACAAGUUUUUCCAUACAUUUUCCAUAAACCACAAGUUUUCGUAAAACACAAGUUUUUGAUUAAACUCGCCAAAAACCUGAAAAUGAAAACAUUCAACUCCAAACGAAAUAACCAAACAAACCUUUUGAAGAAUUCAGCACAAAUUCAGCAGACAAAAAAAAAAUGAGAGCAGACAAAAAAAAAAAGAACUGACAGAAUCAGCUGUUUUACAAAUGCAGUUUGUUGAUUUUUGCAACUGAAAAUGGCAGAGCAGAAAAAAAAAACAAAAAAAAAGAUGUCCAAACGAUCUUCUUCAUCAAAAAUCUCUUCUCAACUUUACUAAUUAAGCUAUCUGGAUGCUACUUCGAAGUCGUUUUUUUUCCUUGUAUUUGGUGUCUCAAAGAGGAAGAAACUUUGCAAAACUUUUAUAUAUUCCUCUGUUUUAUGUUAAUGAAUUAAAAUUAUUUAUUUAAAUUGUCA
Long non-coding RNA from Episyrphus balteatus (marmalade hoverfly), 492 nucleotides. RefSeq lists it as uncharacterized. The transcript is spliced from 2 exons. The record is from RefSeq and is a predicted model, not a curated record. Lineage: Eukaryota; Metazoa; Arthropoda; Insecta; Diptera; Syrphidae.